RNAcentral lists this ribosomal RNA (298 nucleotides) under uncultured bacterium. Its description in RNAcentral is "partial 16S ribosomal RNA". It matches the Rfam family "Bacterial small subunit ribosomal RNA", at positions 28 to 321 of the family's 1533-position model. The record is from RNAcentral.
GAUGAACGCUGGCGGCGUGCCUAAUACAUGCAAGUCGAACGGAGAUAAUGUAGCAAUACGUUAUUUUAGUGGCGAACGGGUGAGUAACGCGUUGGUGACCUGCCCCGAAGAGGGGGAUAACAGUUCGAAAGGACUGCUAAUACCCCAUGUGGUCACUGGGAUUAGAUACCCGGUGACUAAAGGAGAAAUUCACUUCGGGAGGGGCCUGCGUCCCAUCAGCUAGUUGGUAGGGUAAUGGCCUACCAAGGCGACGACGGGUAGGGGACCUGAGAGGGUGGCCCCCCACCACUGGCGACUG